Molecule: long non-coding RNA, 1515 nt
Filed under: Carassius auratus (goldfish)
Lineage: Eukaryota; Metazoa; Chordata; Actinopteri; Cypriniformes; Cyprinidae
Description: lncRNA (ENSCARG00000019064.1)
Source: RNAcentral
AGAGACUCUAUAGUAAUAAAAUAAAGUAAAAUAAAAUAAAAUAAAUAAUCUAAUCUUUGCUUAAAUUUGUACAUGACCCCUUUCAUAAUAAUAAUAAUAAUAUUUUGGCAUUUAACGCAUAAGUUAAUUAUUUAAACAGUGAAAGUCUUACUGUUUUAAAAUAUUGUCUUAAGACCCAUCUUGUUUAUGCUUUUUAUGUGAUUGUUUGUAUUUGGUCUGUUAGGGUGUAAUAAUAAUUAUUGUGUAAUGUUGAUUGUUUUGUUGUAAGGUGUCCUUGAGUGUCAUGUCAGGUGCCUAUAAAUAACAUGAAAUAAAUUUUACACAGAGGUCAAGUUCAUUAUUUACGUUUGACAUUUCAUGUAACGGACCUCAAACUGUGCUCAACAACUGUAAGCGGUAAGCGUAGCGGUACCUUUAAGAAAAUUGGACCGAUGUAUUUUGAAAACGGGGGAGAACAGUUCAUUUAGUUGUGAAAAGUCGUGUGCAAAGAGUGUAUAUACUGAAUAGUUGAUCUAUUUAUUAUGCAGCUACUCAAUUAUUUCCUAUACUGUAAAACUGAACAUUAGCUAAUGAUAUUAAGGGGACAUGAUAAAACCUGUUUGACCGAUCCCCCCUCUUUCCCACAAAAGUCUAUUCUUGAUCUAAGGCUCAUGAUGCAGUGGGAUUCAAUAAGCUGGUAGGUGCUGCCCAACUCAAGGUUUUCGGCUCCAGUCGACAGCGAAUGAGCACGGAAAUAUACCGCAGCAUCCUCACUCAUUUGAAGUGUUUACGUGCAGAUCAUAAAGGCAUCAGCCCCACUGAUAACCUGCAGCAGCUGGAGGACAAGGACAGCUCGGACAGCAGCUCAGAGCCCGUUAAAACCUGAGCCAUACAAAGGUAUUUGCUAUUUAGUAACUGCUUUUCCAUCCAGUAUAACUUAUAGACUACUAGUUGCAAUCAGCCGCCAGCCUUCUGUCAGUACACCAGCAAACAUUUCAUAUGAUAUUGGCAGUACUGGAGGCAGAGGGUUUUUCCAUUCCCAGGUCCUUUUAGUGUGUUGUGUUUGUUAUUCUGUGCAUUAGCAGAUGUUCCUUCACAGAAAGACAUGAGUUACCUGAGGGAGCAGUUUUUAGAGCAGGGUAAGUUUUUUCCCAUGUCAUUUCCUCUUGACGUGUACAAGGUGACAUGUUCCUUUGAUCAUUGCCAGCGUUUCAGAAGUACAGAUCUCAGUUCAGUCAUCUAGGUGAAGGUGACGAUGAAGUCGAGGUGUUCCAGACUCACUAGUAAGCUGUUGAAAUGUAAUCAGAUGUUAGGGAUGCUAUUUUUUACCAUCCACAAUCAGUUAAUACAAUUAAUGAAAAACAGAAAGAGAAAGUGUCUCUCACACUUUAUUUGUUAAUUAAUUAGAUGAUUUUUCUAGACAGAUCUAAAAGUUGGAGGUGUAUUCAUGUUACAAAACGCUCCUGAAGUGGUCUCCACUUGCAGUAUGGUUAGGAACAGCUGUCCAAGACUGCCAAACUAUUGAACUUACAGUUA